This 646-nucleotide unclassified non-coding RNA is filed under the name Zea mays. RNAcentral's name for it is "misc RNA Zm00001eb316160". The record is from RNAcentral. Lineage: Eukaryota; Viridiplantae; Streptophyta; Magnoliopsida; Poales; Poaceae.
UCUCUUUACCCUAUCAAACCGUCAUUUGUUUUUUCCACUAACGUGGUGAAGCACAUGCACGGACCUAUAUUCCACCUUAUGAAUUUAGGUUCUUGUCUCGCAAGGAUGAAAUCUCAAGAGAAAAAUAAAGAACUUUAUAUCCUCCAAAGGGAUAAUACACUAUCAGCAGAUGGGUCUCUAUUUGUAUGCUUGUCUCAUAACAAACAAAAAAUAUCGGUGGCAACUGCAAUAGUUUCAAAAGGUAUUAUAACUUUCAUUGUACUGUAUGGAUCAAUUUAUAUUUUUUAUUGUAAGCAAUUUUGAUUUUAUCUUAGAACUGUUUUGUUCCUAUAUUAUAUUUGCACGCAUGGUAGUCUUAUCCUCAUCGAUUUUAUUAAAGAAAUCCACUGUGAAAUAAGGAUAGAAAUCGUGUUUAUUGAUGAUGCCUUUGUAGAAAGGAAGUGAAUGGAAUGCCUAUUUCAUCUCACACAUAUUUACGUGAUUAGAUGAUCCAUGCUUAGUUUUUCAAUUUGGUGAUCCUGGUAUGUAUAAAUUUUUACUCAACCUGGUAUUUUUUAUCAUAACUUACACACUUGUAGGUGAUAGACUCUUACAUAAAUUUAAUAAAAGCUCAAGAGCAUCUAAUGUGUCGAUCUGGAGGUCGUGU